Phrynosoma platyrhinos (Desert horned lizard) is the source of this 71-nucleotide non-coding RNA. Lineage: Eukaryota; Metazoa; Chordata; Lepidosauria; Squamata; Phrynosomatidae. The record is from the annotation of a GenBank genome assembly.
GCCAACGUGGUGUAGUGGUCUGGGUGUUGGACUAUGACUCUGGAGACCAGGGUUCGAUUCCCAGUUUGGCC